RNAcentral lists this ribosomal RNA (442 nucleotides) under uncultured bacterium. RNAcentral describes it as "partial 16S ribosomal RNA". It matches the Rfam family "Bacterial small subunit ribosomal RNA", at positions 338 to 795 of the family's 1533-position model. The record is from RNAcentral.
CCUACGGGUGGCAGCAGUGGGGAAUAGUGGGCAAUGGGCGCAAGCCUGACCCAGCGACGCCGCGGGAGGGAAGACGGUCUUCGGAGUGUAAACCUCUUUCAGCAGGGAAGACAACAGGACGGGACCUGCAGAAGAAGCCACGGCUAACGACGGGCCAGCAGCCGCGGGAAUACGUAGGGGGCAAGCGUUAUCCGGAAUUACUGGGUGUAAAGGGGGUGUAGGCGGGUUGGAAAGUCAGAUGUGAAAAUUAUGGGCUCAACCCCUAACCGGCGUCUGAAACUACAGAUCGUUAGAGUGGGAGAGGUAACCGGCCUUCCCGGUGUAGCGGUGAAAUGCGUAGCUCUCGGGAGGCACACCCGUGGCGAAGGCGGUUUACUGGACCACAACUCACGCUGAGCCACGAAAGCGUGGGGAGCAAACAGGAUUAGCUACCCCAGUAGUC